UCGCAAGAUUAAAACUCAAAGGAAUAGACGGGGACCCGCACAAGCGGUGGAGCAUGUGGUUUAAUUCGACGAUACACGAAGAACCUUACCUGGACUUGACAUAGUAAGAACUUUCUAGAGAUAGAUUGGUGUCUGCUUGCAGAAACUUAUAUACAGGUGCUGCACGGCUGUCGUCAGCUCGUGUCGUGAGAUGUUGGGUUAAGUCCCGCAACGAGCGCAACCCUCGUCAUUAGUUGCUAACAGUUCGGCUGAGAACUCUAAUGAGACUGCCUACGCAAGUAGGAGGAAGGUGAGGACGACGUCAAGUCAUCAUGGCCCUUACGUCCAGGGCUACACACGUGCUACAAUGGGGUAUACAAAGAGCCGCAAUACGGUGACGUGGAGCAAAUCUCAAAAAUAUCUCCCAGUUCGGAUUGUAGUCUGCAACUCGACUACAUGAAGUUGGAAUCGCUAGUAAUCGUAGAUCAGCUAUGCUACGGUGAAUACGUUCCCGGGUCUUGUACUCACCGCCCGUCACACCAUGGGAGUUGAACUCAUUCGAAGCGGGGAUGCUAAAAUAGCUACCUUCCACAGUGGAUUUAGCGACUGGGGUGAAGUCGUAACAAGGUAACC
Molecule: ribosomal RNA, 612 nt
Filed under: uncultured bacterium
Lineage: Bacteria
Description: bacterial SSU rRNA
Rfam family: Bacterial small subunit ribosomal RNA
Source: RNAcentral